UACGUAGGGUGCAAGCGUUGUCCGGAAUUACUGGGCGUAAAGCGCGUGUAGGCUGUUCGGAAAGUCGGGUGUGAAAGCCCUGGGCUCAACCUAGGAAGUGCACUCGAAACUCCCGAACUGGAGUCCCGGAGAGGAAGGUGGAAUUCUCGGUGUAGAGGUGAAAUUCGUAGAUAUCGAGAGGAACAUCGGUGGCGAAGGCGGCCUUCUGGACGGUGACUGACGCUGAGACGCGAAAGCGUGGGGAGCAAACAGG
Molecule: ribosomal RNA, 253 nt
Filed under: uncultured bacterium
Lineage: Bacteria
Description: partial 16S ribosomal RNA
Rfam family: Bacterial small subunit ribosomal RNA
Source: RNAcentral